UCAGGAUGAACGCUAGCUACAGGCUUAACACAUGCAAGUCGAGGGGCAUCAUGACGAUAGCUUGCUAUUGUUGAUGGCGACCGGCGCACGGGUGAGUAACGCGUAUCCAACCUUCCCUAUAGUAGAGAAUAGCCCGGCGAAAGUCGGAUUAAUGCUCUAUGUUGUAUUUCGCGGGCAUCUAACGAAUACCAAAGGUUUACCGCUAUAGGAUGGGGAUGCGUCUGAUUAGGUAGUCGGCGGGGUAACGGCCCACCGAGCCAUCGAUCAGUAGGGGUUCUGAGAGGAAGGUCCCCCACAUUGGAACUGAGACACGGUCCAAACUCCUACGGGAGGCAGCAGUGAGGAAUAUUGGUCAAUGGGCGAGAGCCUGAACCAGCCAAAGUAGCGUGCAGGAUGACGGCCCUAUGGGUUGUAAACUGCUUUUAUACAGGGAUAAAGUGGGGGACGUGUCCCCUUUUGUAGGUACUGUAUGAAUAAGGACCGGCUAAUUCCGUGCCAGCCGCGGC
Molecule: ribosomal RNA, 506 nt
Filed under: uncultured bacterium
Lineage: Bacteria
Description: bacterial SSU rRNA
Rfam family: Bacterial small subunit ribosomal RNA
Source: RNAcentral